CCAACCUCCAUUUGUGGAACUCUCAAGAAGCAGGAAGAGGCAGCCCUUUCUCCCACUAUGGCAGAUGGAUGGGGAAGACUCACUGUCUUCUCAGUCUCUGCCGGAGCAAGGAUGCUGGACCUAACCAUGACCGGUCAGAAGCCCCCACCGGAGAGGUUGAAUCUGGAGGCAGAAAUGCCAGCUGCAAGGAUCAGCUAGAGACUGUGAUGAGUCCAGAGUCCAAGGCAUUGUUCCGAGCAGGUGGUCCUUGGAGCAGGAUCUUGGCCGCACCUCGCCUUGGGUGGUUCCUGCCCGAGCCCAGUUCUGCAGUGUUCCGUCAACUCCUUCUCUGCUGUAGAUUCAGCUCCAGUGUGAAACCAAGAAUGCUAAGCAUGGCAGAUCCUGAUGAAUCCGCAGGACCAAAACAAGGGGCCUCUUUCUUCCAGGCAGUGGGGACAUCUUCUAGGCACUGGAAAGGCCAGGGACACUUUCAUUUCAGAGCCAGCAGGGCCCAAACAGUAGUGGGGACUCAACACAUUCUGGACUCUUUCUCUGGGCCUCUAGGAGCCUCACAGCAGAUAAGCAACUUUGAUUGUUCAAGGUCUGCUCUUCUAUUGCUUUCUACAAGGUGUGAACUCAGGGCUGGGCUCCACUCUCAGAUGUCUAUAAACACAUGGUGCCCGGAUCCUAUUCCUGUGCUCUAGGACCUUCCGGCAAGUCUGCUACAAAGAUGAGGCUCACAUUUCAAUGUUGGCCUCAUUAGAGAGGGCAUCAAACAAAAUUUCCACUGGAAGAUGAUUUCAUGUCAGCACCGCAGAGGGUCUGUCCUUCCCAGGAAAAUCUAAAUGCCCUAACUUGUUCUUGAGACCCAAGAUCUCCCACAGUUCUGAGACCUGAAAAGCUUUAUUCAGCAGACAUUUACUGAGUACCAACUGUAUGACAGACCUUUCUGAAAGCUUGAAGUUAUUUCAAAAUUAGAAAUCAAAAAAGAAUCACAUCAAUACAGGAAAAAUGAUCACAGUGAUGAGUGCUAUUUUUAAAAGGCAACCGGCUCCGUCUGUGGAUGGCUCUGUGCGGUUUCCAUCUGCUCUCCGUCCACCGCUGGUUUCACGUGAGCUCACAUGGAACUGCCUUUCGGAUUUCCUCCCGGGGGCUCAGCCAAGUGCACCCUGGGUGAUUUUGAAGCACGAACCUGCAUAAUAAAUGCAUGGCGUCUCCGUGGC
Equus caballus (horse) is the source of this 1202-nucleotide long non-coding RNA. NCBI's taxonomy places the organism in Eukaryota, Metazoa, Chordata, Mammalia, Perissodactyla, Equidae. The record is from Ensembl.